AUAGAGUAGUCUGCCACUCCAGGUAGGCUAGAGCAAACACUCAUAGCACUUUGAAACCAAUAGAGUAGUCUGCCACUACAGGUAGGCUAGAGCAAACACUCAUAGCACUUUGAAACCAAUAGAGUAGUCUGCCACUCCAGGUAGGCUAGAGCAAACACUCAUAGCACUUUGAAACCAAUAGAGUAGUCUGCCACUACAGGUAGGCUAGAGCAAACACUCAUAGCACUUUGAAACCAAUAGAGUAGUCUGCCACUCCAGGUAGGCUAGAGCAAACACUCAUAGCACUUUGAAACCAAUAGAGUAGUCUGCCACUCCAGGUAGGCUAGAGCAAACACUCAUAGCA
Molecule: long non-coding RNA, 343 nt
Organism: Oncorhynchus keta (chum salmon)
Lineage: Eukaryota; Metazoa; Chordata; Actinopteri; Salmoniformes; Salmonidae
Exons: 3
Source: RefSeq, a predicted model, not a curated record